Molecule: non-coding RNA, 211 nt
Filed under: Sporomusa malonica
Lineage: Bacteria; Bacillati; Bacillota; Negativicutes; Selenomonadales; Sporomusaceae
Description: T-box sequence
Rfam family: T-box leader
About the family: Uncharged tRNA acts as the effector for transcription antitermination of genes in the T-box leader family. T-boxes are found upstream of many aminoacyl-tRNA synthetase genes and some amino acid biosynthetic genes usually in Gram-positive bacteria.
Source: RNAcentral
ACAAAUCUGAAGAGGCAGAAUAGUAAGCUUAUUGGAUGCUGUUCAGAAAGUUGGCGGCUGUUGCGAGCCAAUCUGCACGAUAGCUGAACUCGCUGCUCAGGAGCGGCCGUGAAAUUUUUUGUAAUGGUCGACGCAAGCCAGCGUUAUAGGUGAAGAGUGGAUGACAACUGUCAUCAAACAGGGUGGUACCGCGAGAAACCUCGUCCCUGGC